This is a long non-coding RNA of Meriones unguiculatus (Mongolian gerbil), 425 nucleotides long. RefSeq lists it as uncharacterized. The record is from RefSeq and is a predicted model, not a curated record. Lineage: Eukaryota; Metazoa; Chordata; Mammalia; Rodentia; Muridae. The transcript is spliced from 3 exons.
CUACUAAAUGCUCCAUUGUCUCUGCUCGGGAGCACUCAGAACAACCUAUUACUGACUUAUGACUUAUCAUCAAGAUAGAAUCUUCUGCCCCUUGGAACCGGCCUCACCUGCCUGGCAGUCAGCAGCCAGGCAUAGUACCUGUGGUCUUUGGGGAGUUACAGGUUCAGAACAAGGUGCAGGGAAUACAAAGGCAGGUUCAUGCGUAGGUCAGGGCGGUUCGCUCAGUUCAGGCCGCACAGGAAAGCCAUUUGCAGGGAUUGAUUUCAAGACUCCUAUUAAUAGCUCCGGAUGGCAAGAACUGUGACCUCUGCCCUGGAUCUUCAGAGCCUUGGGAGCGAAGUGACAGCAGCCAACUGGACCAAACAAGUAUAAAACACAACUUUUGACUAUCCGUAACAAGACCCAAACUUUUUUAAAAAGGCAAG